GACAGAGGUGCCGAGCGUUAGGCGGAAUCACUGGGCUUAAAGCGUGUGUAGGCGGGUCGUUAAGUGCCUUGUGAAAUCCCAUAGCUCACCCAUGGAACUGCUUGGCAUACUGGCGAUCUUGAGCCACUUAGGGGCAACCGGAACAAACGGUGGAGCGGUGAAAUGCGUAGAUAUCAAGUGGAACACCAGUGGCGAAGGCGAGUCUCUGGACAUUUCCUGACGCUGAGGCACGAAAGCUAGGGGAGCAAACGGG
This 253-nucleotide ribosomal RNA is filed under the name uncultured bacterium. RNAcentral describes it as "partial 16S ribosomal RNA". It matches the Rfam family "Bacterial small subunit ribosomal RNA", at positions 524 to 776 of the family's 1533-position model. The record is from RNAcentral.